Vidua chalybeata is the source of this 1743-nucleotide long non-coding RNA. RefSeq lists it as uncharacterized. The record is from RefSeq and is a predicted model, not a curated record. Lineage: Eukaryota; Metazoa; Chordata; Aves; Passeriformes; Viduidae. The transcript has 3 exons.
UUCGUCAUUGCUACAAUCCAGAGUCUUUCUGGCAAAAGCAUUGUUUCCUCCAUGAGCACUAGUGCGGCUUUAAAAUGUCAUCCUUUUAUGUAAGUAUUUCUGUAUGUAUGUGCAGCUACAAAACGAUCCCUUGCCUUCAAAGUUUAUUCCGAACUUUUUGUUUCAGCCAGUAAUUUCCGGCAGGGGUAGCCAACAAUUCGUCUGUUAAUACCAGAAAAUAAAGCCAGCCAUUAAGUUGUGUAAGCUGCGUUAAGAGAGAGGAGCUUCCAUUCCUUUACAGGCCCCUAUUUGCAUUGUAAAUCGCUUCGUUUUCACGAAAGACUCCUUAGCGUCUAUAAAGAUGAGAGCCUUCGGCAAUUUCCAACGCAGUGUAAGGAGGAACAAGAAGGUGGGGAAAAUCCAUUUCAGUAGGAAGUAACAAGAUGAUUCGAGGAUGAGGCUCCUGAUCCCCUUAGAUUGUGCACGGCAUAGAGCUCUUUGCCAAAAGGUGGCAGCUUGAUUGUAAAUAUCUUUCCUGGGUGUGUAUUUUAGAGGGGGGAGACUCGCUCUUUCUCGGAGCUCCUAAAGCUGGGGAGAAGACAGCGGUCUUGCCGGCUGCUGCUGCCCCCGGUCUGAAAGAAGGAGAAAAGGGCCAUCAUUGGAAGGCUUUCAGUGCCAAAAUGCGGGCCAGCCCGUCAAGGUCAGAGGUCCUGGACCGCGGGAGACCAAGGUAAUGAUGAUGUCAUGAGAAACCUCGAGUAUACACGGCUAUUGAUAUGCAUGAGCCACCAGUGGCCGGCGCUGGAACCGAGUCCGGUCUCGCCUCCAGCAUCGCCGCCUCCGCCGCCCUGGCGCGGGGGAUCCGUCCGCCGCCUUUACCUUUUUCCUCCUCUGCAGCACAGACCGCUCUAACAUCCAGAGGCCGGGGGAGAGGACUCUCUCCCCCGGGACGAGCAGCCUGUCCGACCCCAGGGAGCGCUGCUGCACUUCUCUUAGGGCAGCCCCCGCUGGUCUCCAGACGUCUGUGAUGUAAAGAAGAAAUAUCCUGUAUGGAUUCCUUAAGAGCAAACCAUCCCUAUUGACUUUAAAGAGGAAUGCUUAUGACUCUCUAACUAUUGCAAUCAGACCCCCAUCCUAUCUCCAGCAACACCACCUUCUUUGGGAAGACACACAGGAACCCCACUUAAGCUGCUGUGACAUAAGAAGGGUGUAGUGUUGCAGAAAUUCCCUUUUUGCACUAAAUUAUAACAAAAUUCACGUAGAGGUAAAUUGCCAGGGCAUGCCAGUACGUGCCAGUACAGUCCAAGCCUUUUUUCCCUGCAGAGCAGCAUCCCUUUUCUCCCAUCCCGGCAGCAGUGCUGUUCUUAGGUGCUGCGAUGAGGCAGUUUCACCCGGAUAGAGGGAUGCUGAGGGUCACGCCCUCCCGCAACUCCACUGGAACUGUCCUGUCCCCGACACUCCAUUGCCAGGUGCGUUCCUGUGCUGAACGGAGCCAUUUUGGCAGGGAUGGAUUUUAGAGAACCCGAGAAGUGAUGGUCGCUUGCUCCGAGUGACCCACUACAUAGAAGGCAGCGGAUGGCGGCGAGCAAUCCUUUGCACCCUGACCAGCUGCAAGAUAUGACUCCGACUUAUCUUCUUUCCUCUCCCCCCCUUUUUUUUUUUUUUUCCUGAAUUUCUCCUCCCCUUCUCCCACCUCCCCCCCUCCACUUUGUGGGGUUUUUGUUUGUUUGUUCGUUCGUGUGGUUUGAAAACUGCUAUUCUUCA